AUUGAACGCUGGCGGCAUGCUUUACACAUGCAAGUCGAACGGUAACAGGGAGCUUGCUCCGCUGACGAGUGGCGAACGGGUGAGUAAUGCAUCGGAACGUACCCAGUCGUGGGGGGAUAACGUAGCGAAAGUUACGCUAAUACCGCAUACGUCCUGAGGGAGAAAGCGGGGGACCGUAAGGCCUCGCGCGAUUGGAGCGGCCGAUGUCGGAUUAGCUAGUUGGUAGGGUAAAGGCCUACCAAGGCGACGAUCCGUAGCGGGUCUGAGAGGAUGAUCCGCCACACUGGGACUGAGACACGGCCCAGACUCCUACGGGAGGCAGCAGUGGGGAAUUUUGGACAAUGGGCGAAAGCCUGAUCCAGCCAUGCCGCGUGAGUGAAGAAGGCCU
This 388-nucleotide ribosomal RNA is filed under the name uncultured bacterium. RNAcentral describes it as "bacterial SSU rRNA". It matches the Rfam family "Bacterial small subunit ribosomal RNA", at positions 29 to 417 of the family's 1533-position model. The record is from RNAcentral.